UUGAACGCUGGCGGCAUGCUUUACACAUGCAAGUCGAACGGUAACAGGGAGCUUGCUCCGCUGACGAGUGGCGAACGGGUGAGUAAUGCAUCGGAACGUGCCUAUUUGUGGGGGAUAACGUAGCGAAAGUUACGCUAAUACCGCAUACGACCUGAGGGUGAAAGCGGGGGAUCGCAAGACCUCGCGCGAUAGGAGCGGCCGAUAUCGGAUUAGCUUGUUGGUGAGGUAAAGGCUCACCAAGGCGACGAUCCGUAGCUGGUCUGAGAGGACGACCAGCCACACUGGAACUGAGACACGGUCCAGACUCCUACGGGAGGCAGCAGUGGGGAAUUUUGGACAAUGGGGGCAACCCUGAUCCAGCCAUUCCGCGUGAGUGAAGAAGGCCUUCGGGUUGUAAAGCUCUUUCAGCAGGAACGAAACGGUGGCUACUAAUACUAGCUACUAAUGACGGUACCUGAAGAAGAAGCACCGGCUAACUACGU
Molecule: ribosomal RNA, 482 nt
Filed under: uncultured bacterium
Lineage: Bacteria
Description: bacterial SSU rRNA
Rfam family: Bacterial small subunit ribosomal RNA
Source: RNAcentral